UAAUUUUUUUCUUUCAAAUUUUUUCUCAUUUAAUUCUCAGAUGUUAAAGAAAUUGCUGUCACUCAAAAUGGCCAUAAUGGCAAACAUCCCGAAAAUGACAUCCCAGUUCCCGCAAGCGAGGACCCAGUACUACACACCGUACAGACAGUCGGCAGACUUAAGAACAAGAUAUCCCGUCGCGUCUAUAGAAAUGUCUCCAGACAAAUCCGCAAAGUCCAAAAAGGCAACGUUAACGACUAUCUAAGCUCUCUAAUAGCUGCCCUGAAAUUACAUCAAUACAUUAACUUCAUUAACUCCUCGAUGGG
This is a long non-coding RNA of Musca vetustissima, 305 nucleotides long. RefSeq lists it as uncharacterized. The record is from RefSeq and is a predicted model, not a curated record. The transcript is spliced from 2 exons. NCBI's taxonomy places the organism in Eukaryota, Metazoa, Arthropoda, Insecta, Diptera, Muscidae.